RNAcentral lists this small nuclear RNA (168 nucleotides) under Anas platyrhynchos platyrhynchos (common mallard). RNAcentral's name for it is "U2 spliceosomal RNA (ENSAPLG00000026534.1)". Lineage: Eukaryota; Metazoa; Chordata; Aves; Anseriformes; Anatidae. The record is from RNAcentral.
AUACUUCCCAGCUGUUGGCUUAGAUCAGCAGCAUCAUCUGUACUUACCACUUUAAUAUCUGAUGAAUCCUCAGCUUGAAGAUUUUAUAUUAAAGAGAUUUGGAGGGCAGAGGAAGGACUAAGAGCAUCAACCUGAUACUGCAGGGCUUUCUGGUACUGUGGUCACAUU